UGUAAUGUGGCUCAGUGGUAGAGCACUGAUAUUACACAUUCAAUCCUUGGGUUCAAUCCCCAGCAUUUGAA
This 71-nucleotide transfer RNA is filed under the name Dipodomys ordii (Ord's kangaroo rat). It matches the Rfam family "tRNA". From Rfam's summary of the family: Transfer RNA (tRNA) molecules are approximately 80 nucleotides in length. Lineage: Eukaryota; Metazoa; Chordata; Mammalia; Rodentia; Heteromyidae. The record is from Rfam by way of RNAcentral.